RNAcentral lists this ribosomal RNA (1333 nucleotides) under uncultured bacterium. Its description in RNAcentral is "bacterial SSU rRNA". It matches the Rfam family "Bacterial small subunit ribosomal RNA", at positions 28 to 1381 of the family's 1533-position model. The record is from RNAcentral.
GACGAACGCCUGGCGGCGCGCCUAACACAUGCAAGUCGAACGAGCGAGAGAGAGCUUGCUUUCUUGAGCGAGUGGCGAACGGGUGAGUAACGCGUGAGGAACCUGCCUCAAAGAGGGGGACAACAGUUGGAAACGACUGCUAAUACCGCAUAAGCCCACGGCUCGGCAUCGAGCAGAGGGAAAAGGAGCAAUCCGCUUUGAGAUGGCCUCGCGUCCGAUUAGCUAGUUGGUGAGGUAACGGCCCACCAAGGCGACGAUCGGUAGCCGGACUGAGAGGUUGAACGGCCACAUUGGGACUGAGACACGGCCCAGACUCCUACGGGAGGCAGCAGUGGGGAAUAUUGCACAAUGGGGGAAACCCUGAUGCAGCGACGCCGCGUGGAGGAAGAAGGUCUUCGGAUUGUAAACUCCUGUUGUUGAGGAAGAUAAUGACGGUACUCAACAAGGAAGUGACGGCUAACUACGUGCCAGCAGCCGCGGUAAAACGUAGGUCACAAGCGUUGUCCGGAAUUACUGGGUGUAAAGGGAGCGCAGGCGGGAAGACAAGUUGGAAGUGAAAUCCAUGGGCUCAACCCAUGAACUGCUUUCAAAACUGUUUUUCUUGAGUAGUGCAGAGGUAGGCGGAAUUCCCGGUGUAGCGGUGGAAUGCGUAGAUAUCGGGAGGAACACCAGUGGCGAAGGCGGCCUACUGGGCACCAACUGACGCUGAGGCUCGAAAGUGUGGGUAGCAAACAGGAUUAGAUACCCUGGUAGUCCACACUGUAAACGAUGAUUACUAGGUGUUGGAGGAUUGACCCCUUCAGUGCCGCAGUUAACACAAUAAGUAAUCCACCUGGGGAGUACGACCGCAAGGUUGAAACUCAAAGGAAUUGACGGGGGCCCGCACAAGCAGUGGAGUAUGUGGUUUAAUUCGACGCAACGCGAAGAACCUUACCAAGUCUUGACAUCCCUUGACGAUGCUGGAAACAGUAUUUCUCUUCGGAGCAAGGAGACAGGUGGUGCAUGGUUGUCGUCAGCUCGUGUCGUGAGAUGUUGGGUUAAGUCCCGCAACGAGCGCAACCCUUAUGGUCAGUUACUACGCAAGGGGACUCUGGCCAGACUGCCGUUGACAAAACGGAGGAAGGUGGGGAUGACGUCAAAUCAUCAUGCCCUUUAUGACUUGGGCUACACACGUACUACAAUGGCGUUAAACAAAGAGAAGCAAGACCGCGAGGUGGAGCAAAACUCAGAAACAACGUCCCAGUUCGGACUGCAGGCUGCAACUCGCCUGCACGAAGUCGGAAUUGCUAGUAAUCGUGGAUCAGCAUGCCACGGUGAAUACGUUCCCGGGCCU